Molecule: small nucleolar RNA, 100 nt
Organism: Sceloporus undulatus (fence lizard)
Lineage: Eukaryota; Metazoa; Chordata; Lepidosauria; Squamata; Phrynosomatidae
Product: small nucleolar RNA SNORA5
Exons: 1
Source: RefSeq, a predicted model, not a curated record
UGCAGCCUUGUCAAAUUUGGGCCCUUGGCUGCCACAAAAACUGCAGUUCAUGGGCCCCAGGUUUUUGUGGUGACUGGGGAAACAGCCAGCUACAACAUUA